AGAGUUUGAUCAUGGCUCAGAAUGAACGCUGGCGGCGUGCCUAACACAUGCAAGUCGAGCGAGAAAUCACACUUCGGUGUGAGAGUAGAGCGGCGCACGGGUGAGUAACGCGUGGAUAAUCUACCCAUGGAUUGGGGAUAACCCUGCGAAAGCGGGGCUAAUACCUGAUAGUCUGGUCAUUAUAUAGAUGAUCGGUAAAGGUGGCCUCUGAUACAAGCUACUGUCCGUGGAUGAGUCCGCGUCUCAUUAGCGGGUUGGUGGGGUAAUGGCCUACCAAGGCGACGAUGAGUAGCUGGUCUGAGAGGAUGAUCAGCCACACUGGGACUGGAACACGGCCCAGACUCCUACGGGAGGCAGCAGUGGGGAAUAUUGGGCAAUGGGCGCAAGCCUGACCCAGCAACGCCGUGUGAGGGAAGAAGGUUUUCGGAUCGUAAACCUCUGUCAGAAGGGAAGAAGUGGCAGAUAUUUAAUAUAUAUUUGCUUUGACGGUACCUUCAGAGGAAGCACCGGCUAACUCCGUGCCAGCAGCCGCGGUAAUACGGAGGGUGCAAGCGUUAUUCGGAAUCACUGGGCGUAAAGCGCGCGUA
Molecule: ribosomal RNA, 587 nt
Filed under: uncultured bacterium
Lineage: Bacteria
Description: bacterial SSU rRNA
Rfam family: Bacterial small subunit ribosomal RNA
Source: RNAcentral